GAUGAAGAACGUAGUGAAAUGCGAUACGUAAUGUGAAUUGCAGAAUUCAGUGAAUCAUCGAAUCUUUGAACGCACAUUGCGCCCGCCAGUAUUCUGGCGGGCAUGCCUGUUCGAGCGUCAUUUCAACCAUCAAGCCCCCGGCUUGUGUUGGGGACCUGCGGCUGCCGCAGGCCCUGAAAAGCAGUGGCGGGCUCGCUGUCACACCGAGCGUAGUAGCAUACAUCUCGCUCUGGGCGUGCUGCGGGUUCCGGCCGUUAAACCACCUUCAUAACCCAAGGUUGACCUCGGAUCAGGUAGGAAGACCCGCUGAACUUAAGCAUAUCAAUAAGCGGAGGA
Molecule: unclassified non-coding RNA, 336 nt
Filed under: soil metagenome
Description: partial contains 5.8S ribosomal RNA, internal transcribed spacer 2, and large subunit ribosomal RNA
Rfam family: 5.8S ribosomal RNA (bases 1-120)
Source: RNAcentral